GAUGAACGCUGGCGGCGUGCCUAAUACAUGCAAGUCGAGCGAACAGACGAGGAGCUUGCUCCUCUGACGUUAGCGGCGGACGGGUGAGUAACACGUGGAUAACCUACCUAUAAGACUGGGAUAACUUCGGGAAACCGGAGCUAAUACCGGAUAAUAUAUUGAACCGCAUGGUUCAAUAGUGAAAGACGGUUUUGCUGUCACUUAUAGAUGGAUCCGCGCCGCAUUAGCUAGUUGGUAAGGUAACGGCUUACCAAGGCGACGAUGCGUAGCCGACCUGUGAGAGUGAUCGGCCACACUGGAACUGAGACACGGUCCAGACUCCUACGGGAGGCAGCAGUAGGGAAUCUUCCGCAAUGGGCGAAAGCCUGACGGAGCAACGCCGCGUGAGUGAUGAAGGUCUUCGGAUCGUAAAACUCUGUUAUUAGGGAAGAACAAAUGUGUAAGUAACUAUGCACGUCUUGACGGUACCUAAUCAGAAAGCCACGGCUAACUACGUG
This 497-nucleotide ribosomal RNA is filed under the name uncultured bacterium. RNAcentral's name for it is "partial 16S ribosomal RNA". It matches the Rfam family "Bacterial small subunit ribosomal RNA", at positions 28 to 507 of the family's 1533-position model. The record is from RNAcentral.